CCUACGGGAGGCAGCAGUGAGGAAUAUUGGUCAAUGGGCGCGAGCCUGAACCAGCCAAGUCGCGUGAGGGAAGACGGUCCUACGGAUUGUAAACCUCUUUUGUCGGGGAGCAAAAUACGCCACGCGUGGCGUUCCGAGAGUACCCGACGAAAAAGCAUCGGCUAACUCCGUGCCAGCAGCCGCGGUAAUACGGGGGAUGCGGGCGUUGUCCGGAUUUAUUGGGUGAAAGGGUGGCGAAGACGGUAGAGAAAGUCAGCGGGAAAAUUGAGGGGCUCAACCUCUUAGAGCAGUUGAUACUGGUAGUCUUGAGUAAGGGAGAGGUAGGCGGAAUGCGUGGUGUAGCGGUGAAAUGCAUAGAUAGCACGAAGAACUCCGAUUGCGAAGGCAGCUUACUGGAGCUCAACUGACGCUGAUGCACGAAAGUGUGGGUAUCGAACAGGAUUAGAUACCCGGGUAGUC
This 459-nucleotide ribosomal RNA is filed under the name uncultured bacterium. RNAcentral describes it as "partial 16S ribosomal RNA". It matches the Rfam family "Bacterial small subunit ribosomal RNA", at positions 338 to 795 of the family's 1533-position model. The record is from RNAcentral.